This is a long non-coding RNA of Notolabrus celidotus (New Zealand spotty), 1600 nucleotides long. RefSeq lists it as uncharacterized. The record is from RefSeq and is a predicted model, not a curated record. Lineage: Eukaryota; Metazoa; Chordata; Actinopteri; Labriformes; Labridae. The transcript is spliced from 8 exons.
AUUCGACGUGCACGCGCAGGGACAAGCAGGCACGUACCCGUUUGUGAGACUGUCUGGAGUCUGUCUGAAAUUGAUAAAAUUGGAGUUUUGCUUCUGUUUGAACGUUUAGGAGGAAGCCGCCCGCUGGAAUUGGGAUUUUUUUUGUGCACCACCUCAAACGCCUUCGCCCACGAGACGCCAGGCUCAGCCAAAAUAUUUUUAGAUAAACGGUGUGAAAGUUUUUUUCCUUCUGCAGUCUCUCAGCAGACGGCUCUUUAUGUACAGGCUCUGCAGGGGAGCAGGCAUCAGCCCUGGAGUUCAAGAGGAGUGCACCAUCCAGUAUGCAGGCUGCACCAGCUCAGAAAAGGUGUGUCCCAAACCAGUUCCAGUGCCUGAAAAAAUGAUCCAAAUGUACAAUUAGAAAGGUGAUCCUUGGAUUCAUACAGCCUGUCAUACCCUCUUGUCUUCGAUGCUUCAGUGUGUCUGCUCUUAUGGUCUGGCCUCCACUUCAUAACAACUCCAUUGCAAGGCAUCCCACAUCCAAACUGCAGGGAGGAGAAUUUUAAGUGCAGAGAGCCGCUGGUGAAACUAGGAAGGAAGAUGUCAUGCUAAGGAUGGGUUUUGGUGAUGAUGUUGCUACUGUUGAUGCAGCAUCGAGCUCUCACUUUGUGCCUCUGUCAGCUAUGAUGCGUAACCACAAAGUGAGUGACAGGCCAGUCCCCAGGGAGAGCAGGGGGCCUGAGCUUUUUGUUCCAGGAGAAUGUGCCCAUGCAUGCAGCCUUUUCCAGCUUCAGCUAUUGUUCAUGCAUUGGUGUCCCUAUCUGAACUUCAGGGAGCUCUCCUGCCUGUGAAUAUUUUGAUGAAGGUUCCUAUUGAUGCACUGAAUGAAGGACCAAAACAACAAGGGUGUGUCCCCCUCCCCUCCUCUCCCCUCCCUCUCUCUCUCCUUUUGACUCUCAUUUCUGCCCUGCGAUAGAAGCCCAGGCCCUUUUCAGAAGCGGCGAGGAAGACUGACCGUCGUGGAGACAGUGCUGGGAGCAGCCCUAUCUGCUCCAAUGCUAGUCACUGGCCGUUAGACAUGGCGUUCAAAGACUAGCGGUGCAAGUAUGGAAAUGCAGAUCAGGCAUUGUUGGGGAAACAUGCCUGGGAAUUGUUCAAGGCUUUCCCUUGCAUAAUGUUUGGAUGCUUUUGCAAAUGUUUUAAUCUCAAAACCCAUGAAUUUGAUCCUCCAUGAAUGUGAUCCUGAAUGAGUGGGCGUCUGCAUGGAAAGGAUUGUCAUGCUGUGCAAAAUAAUGUUUGUGAUUACAUUUGUGAGUGUUUGACAUCUGGCAGCAUCUAUUUGAAAGUAUCAUUGUAUGUGUUCCUCUUUUUUGGACAAUUUUAGCCAUUAAGGCAUUUCUUUUGAUAAUUUAUUAUUCCUGUAGAAGCUAAGGAUUGAUUGAGGAUCACGUGAAAAAAAAUGGACUCUUGUUUGACAAAACGCUGCAACAAACUUGUUUGUGUAUAAUAUUCAAGGUUUAUUUACUCUUCUUUUGCAGUUUUCAGGAGGCAGUUAAUUACACAAUUAAUACAUGAUACAAAUUAUGUACAUUUAUACCAAAGAAUACUUCAACAUAAAAUA